UCUCAAAAUCAAAAUGGUAACCCGCAAUUGAGUAGGAUGAUACGAAGCUUAAAAGCUAAGUACAGCAAAUAUUGGGGUGCCUCUAAAAAAACAAACUUCCUUCUAUAUGUUGUUGUAGUUCUUGAUCCAAGGUAUAAGUUGAAGUUUUUGAAAUAUCGGUUUCGGGAGUUUUGGGGGGAUGAUGUUGCUGAUAAGAUGACUACGAAGGUAAAAAGGACUUUACGAAAAAUGUGUGAUGAGUACUUCUUCAAUAUGACUAGAGGUGAACUGAGUACUGGCAUUAGUGCACAUAGUGAUUCUUCUCAUGUGUCAAUGGCCAAGAAAUUUAAGAAAUUUCUUGAUAAGGAAGCGCCAAAUGAUUGCAGGAUGGAGAUAGACAACUAUUUAUAUGAAUGUUGUCAUCGAAGAGACGAUACAGAUUUCGAUGUUUUGAAAUGGUGGAAGUUGAACUCUUCUCGAUUUUUAAUCCUCAGUCAAAUAGCCAAGGACGUCUUUGCCAUUCCUCUCACCACGGUUGCAACUUUUGAAACUGAAGCCCGUGUGCUGGAAUCGUUUUCGACGCUCAUUUACUCCUAAGAUGUUAGAAGCCAUCAUUUGUGCUCAAAAUUGGCUACAAUCGAAACCACUCUUGGUUGAAGGAGGUGAUGAAACAGAAGAUAUUGAUAAAAUAGAUCAAGAAUUUUCCAAAGUUUUCAUGGGGAUCAACUUGGACUCCAUUGCAGAUUGAGAACUUCAAGAUUUUCAGUUGCAAAGCAAGAGGCUAUGGUAAAGAUUUUGGCCAUCAAUGUGGGAAUCAUUAAGCAGGAGGAGGAAUUUUCAGAGACAGGCCAUCUUCCUUUGAGCACUGUUACUAUAUGGGUACGUAUUUUUCUUUAAGUUGUAAAAGGUUCCAAAGUUUUCAUUUUGUAGUGAGAGAUUAGGUGAACCUUUGGCCUAUAGCAUUCUCUUUUGUUGGGAUGUAUAAUUUCUAUUAUUGGAGAGAUUCCUGCUCUAAAGGUAAGGUACCAA
Momordica charantia (bitter melon) is the source of this 1008-nucleotide non-coding RNA. The record is from RefSeq and is a predicted model, not a curated record. NCBI's taxonomy places the organism in Eukaryota, Viridiplantae, Streptophyta, Magnoliopsida, Cucurbitales, Cucurbitaceae.